UUAAGCAUAUCAAUAAGCGGAGGAAAAGAAACCAACAGGGAUUGCCCUAGUAACGGCGCAGUGAAGCGGCAAGAGCUCAAAUUUGAAAGCUGGCCCCCUCGGGGCCCGCAUUGUAAUUUGCAGAGGAUGCUUCGGGAGCGGCCCCCGUCUAAGUGCCCUGGAACGGGCCGUCAUAGAGGGUGAGAAUCCCGUCUGGGAUGGGGUGUCCGCGCCCGUGUGAAGCUCCUUCGACGAGUCGAGUUGUUUGGGAAUGCAGCUCUAAAUGGGUGGUAAAUUUCAUCUAAAGCUAAAUAUUGGCCGGAGACCGAUAGCGCACAAGUAGAGUGAUCGAAAGAUGAAAAGCACUUUGAAAAGAGAGUUAAAAAGCACGUGAAAUUGUUGAAAGGGAAGCGCUUGCGACCAGACUCGCUCGCGGGGUUCAGCCGGCAUUCGUGCCGGUGUACUUCCCCGCGGGCGGGCCAGCGUCGGUUUGGGCGGCCGGUCAAAGGCCCUCGGAAUGUAACGCCCCCCGGGGCGCCUUAUAGCCGAGGGUGCCAUGCGGCCUGCCCGGACCGAGGAACGCGCUUCGGCUCGGACGCUGGCAUAAUGGUCGUAAACGACCCGUCUUGAAACACGGACCAAGGAGUCUAACAUCUACGCGAGUGUUCGGGUGUCAAACCCGUGCGCGCAGUGAAAGCGAACGGAGGUGGGAGCCCGCAAGGGUGCACCAUCGACCGAUCCUGAUGUCUUCGGAUGGAUUUGAGUAAGAGCGUAGCUGUUGGGACCCGAAAGAUGGUGAACUAUGCCUGAAUAGGGCGAAGCCAGAGGAAACUCUGGUGGAGGCUCGCAGCGGUUCUGACGUGCAAAUCGAUCGUCAAAUUUGGGUAUAGGGGCGAAAGACUAAUCGAACCAUCUAGUAGCUGGUUCCUGCCGAAGUU
RNAcentral lists this ribosomal RNA (917 nucleotides) under Penicillium isariiforme. RNAcentral's name for it is "LSU rRNA". It matches the Rfam family "Eukaryotic large subunit ribosomal RNA", at positions 34 to 968 of the family's 3401-position model. Lineage: Eukaryota; Fungi; Ascomycota; Eurotiomycetes; Eurotiales; Aspergillaceae. The record is from RNAcentral.